AUUGAACGCUGCGGCAUGCCUUACACAUGCAAGUCGAACGGCAGCACGGGAGCAAUCCUGGUGGCGAGUGGCGAACGGGUGAGUAAUACAUCGGAACGUGCCCUGUCGUGGGGGAUAACUAGUCGAAAGAUUAGCUAAUACCGCAUACGACCUGAGGGUGAAAGCGGGGGACCGUAAGGCCUCGCGCGAUAGGAGCGGCCGAUGUCUGAUUAGCUAGUUGGUGGGGUAAAGGCCCACCAAGGCGACGAUCAGUAGCUGGUCUGAGAGGACGAUCAGCCACACUGGGACUGAGACACGGCCCUGACUCCUACGGGAGGCAGCAGUGGGGAAUUUUGGACAAUGGGGGCAACCCUGAUCCAGCAAUGCCGCGUGUGUGAAGAAGGCUUCGGGUUGUAAAGCACUUUUGUCCGGAAAGAAAUCCCUUGCCCUAAUACGGCGGGGGGAUGACGGUACCGGAAGAAUAAGCACCGGCUAA
RNAcentral lists this ribosomal RNA (475 nucleotides) under Cupriavidus basilensis. RNAcentral describes it as "bacterial SSU rRNA". It matches the Rfam family "Bacterial small subunit ribosomal RNA", at positions 29 to 500 of the family's 1533-position model. Lineage: Bacteria; Pseudomonadati; Pseudomonadota; Betaproteobacteria; Burkholderiales; Burkholderiaceae. The record is from RNAcentral.